UACGAAGGGGGCGAGCGUUGUUCGGAUUUACUGGGCGUAAAGGGCGCGUAGGCGGCCUUGUCAGUCAGGCGUGAAAGCCCCGGGCUCAACCUGGGAACGGCGCUUGGGACGGCGAGGCUGGAGUUCGGGAGAGGAGAGUGGAAUUCCCAGUGUAGAGGUGAAAUUCGUAGAUAUCGGGAGGAACACCGGUGGCGAAGGCGGCGAUCUGGGUCGAUACCGACGCUGAGGUGCGAAAGCGUGGGGAGCAAACAGG
Molecule: ribosomal RNA, 253 nt
Filed under: uncultured bacterium
Lineage: Bacteria
Description: partial 16S ribosomal RNA
Rfam family: Bacterial small subunit ribosomal RNA
Source: RNAcentral